CCUACGGGAGGCAGCAGUGGGGAAUAUUGCGCAAUGGGCGAAAGCCUGACGCAGCGACGCCGCGUGAGGGAUGAAGGUCUUCGGAUCGUAAACCUCUUUCAGCAGGGAAGAACGGUCACUGUGCUAAUCAGCAGUGAAUUGACGGUACCUGCAAAGGACGCACCGGCUAACUCCGUGCCAGCAGCCGCGGUAAUACGGAGGGUGCGAGCGUUAAUCGGAAUUACUGGGCGUAAAGGGCUCGUAGGCGGUAUGUCAAGUCAAGGGUGAAAUCCCCGCGCUCAACGUGGGAACUGCCUUUGAAACUGGCAGACUGGAGUGUGGGAGAGGAUAGUGGAAUUCCAGGUGUAGGAGUGAAAUCCGUGGAUAUCUGGAGGAACAUCAGUGGCGAAGGCGACUAUCUGGCACAUCACUGACGCUGAGGAGCGAAAGCGUGGGUAGCAAACAGGAUUAGAUACCCGUGUAGUC
Molecule: ribosomal RNA, 465 nt
Filed under: uncultured bacterium
Lineage: Bacteria
Description: partial 16S ribosomal RNA
Rfam family: Bacterial small subunit ribosomal RNA
Source: RNAcentral